RNAcentral lists this unclassified non-coding RNA (379 nucleotides) under uncultured fungus. Its description in RNAcentral is "partial contains 5.8S ribosomal RNA and internal transcribed spacer 2". The stretch from base 1 to 133 matches the Rfam family "5.8S ribosomal RNA", at positions 22 to 154 of the family's 154-position model. The record is from RNAcentral. Lineage: Eukaryota; Fungi.
UGGCUCUCGCAUCGAUGAAGAACGCAGCGAAAUGCGAUAAGUAAUGUGAAUUGCAGAAUUCAGUGAAUCAUCGAAUCUUUGAACGCACCUUGCGCCCCUUGGUAUUCCGAGGGGCAUGCCUGUUUGAGUGUCAUUAAAUUAUCAAACCUGAGAUGGUUCUUUGGGACCUCUUGGCGUCUUGGAGUUUGGAGCGUGCGGGGGGAGAUCCCUCCCGCUCCUCUUGAAAUGCAUCAGUGGACGUCUGCCUUGCGGACCCUGCGCAGCGUGAUAACUAUCUACGUUGCCUCGGUUGCGGGUAGUCCGCUUCAAACCGUCGCACCCGCGCGACAGAACACUACUUUGACAAUUUGACCUCAGAUCAGGCAGGAUUACCCGCUGA